UACGUAGGGGGCUAGCGUUGUCCGGAAUCAUUGGGCGUAAAGCGCGUGUAGGCGGUCCGGCAAGUCCGCUGUGAAAGUCGGGGGCUCAACCCUCGGAUGCCGGUGGAUACUGUCGGGCUUGAGUACGGAAGAGGCGAGUGGAAUUCCUGGUGUAGCGGUGAAAUGCGCAGAUAUCAGGAGGAACACCAAUUGCGAAGGCAGCUCGCUGGGACGUUACUGACGCUGAGACGCGAAAGCGUGGGGAGCAAACAGG
This 253-nucleotide ribosomal RNA is filed under the name uncultured bacterium. RNAcentral's name for it is "partial 16S ribosomal RNA". It matches the Rfam family "Bacterial small subunit ribosomal RNA", at positions 524 to 776 of the family's 1533-position model. The record is from RNAcentral.